GCGCCUGUAGUUUAGUUGGAUAAAAUGCGGGAUUCCGAUUCCCGAGACCGCAGGUUCAAGUCCUGUCAGGCGUGCCA
Molecule: transfer RNA, 77 nt
Filed under: Candidatus Ornithomonoglobus intestinigallinarum
Lineage: Bacteria; Bacillati; Bacillota; Clostridia
Description: tRNA-Arg
Rfam family: tRNA
About the family: Transfer RNA (tRNA) molecules are approximately 80 nucleotides in length. Their secondary structure includes four short double-helical elements and three loops (D, anti-codon, and T loops).
Source: RNAcentral